CCUAAAUUGAAAACGAUCUGUGAACCCGGCGGUGGUGGCUCACAUCUGUAGUCCCAGCACUCGGGAGGCAGAGGCAGGCGGAUCUCUGUGAAUUCGAGGCCAGCCUGCUCUACAGAGUUCCUGCACGGCCAUGGCUACUCAGAGAAACCCUGUCUCAAAAGAAAAGUGAUCGGGGCAGCGCAUUUUGAAAGGGCUGCAGUGCUCAUUCUUCAAAGUGAGCCCAGGGAGUGUGGGACUGUGCCAGCCAGACCUCGGGUAUUAAAUGAAAAGCAGCGUCUUGUGAUCCUCUUCUAAGAGAUGGAGACAGAAGAUAAUCACUGUGUGACAAUGGCGUUCACGAACCUGUUGCCGUAUUGGGACAUGGUGCUUGGGUAACUUGAAUCUGUGUCGCGAGGCCAUCAUCUCAAAAUUUGGCUCCAGAAUAAACUCUCUCCAGAAAACCACGGUGGAAG
Long non-coding RNA from Meriones unguiculatus (Mongolian gerbil), 452 nucleotides. RefSeq lists it as uncharacterized. The record is from RefSeq and is a predicted model, not a curated record. NCBI's taxonomy places the organism in Eukaryota, Metazoa, Chordata, Mammalia, Rodentia, Muridae. The transcript has 3 exons.